CCUACGGGGGGCAGCAGUGGGGAAUAUUGCACAAUGGGCGCAAGCCUGAUGCAGCCAUGUCGCGUGUGUGAAGAAGGCCUUCGGGUUGUAAAGCACUUUCAGCGGGGAGGAAGGCGGUGAGGUUAAUAACCUCAUCGAUUGACGUUACCCGCAGAAGAAGCACCGGCUAACUCCGUGCCAGCAGCCGCGGUAAUACGGAGGGUGCAAGCGUUAAUCGGAAUUACUGGGCGUAAAGCGCACGCAGGCGGUCUGUCAAGUCGGAUGUGAAAUCCCCGGGCUCAACCUGGGAACUGCAUUCGAAACUGGCAGGCUAGAGUCUUGUAGAGGGGGGUAGAAUUCCAGGUGUAGCGGUGAAAUGCGUAGAGAUCUGGAGGAAUACCGGUGGCGAAGGCGGCCCCCUGGACAAAGACUGACGCUCAGGUGCGAAAGCGUGGGGAGCAAACAGGAUUAGAUACCCUAGUAGUC
Molecule: ribosomal RNA, 465 nt
Filed under: uncultured Klebsiella sp.
Lineage: Bacteria; Pseudomonadati; Pseudomonadota; Gammaproteobacteria; Enterobacterales; Enterobacteriaceae
Description: bacterial SSU rRNA
Rfam family: Bacterial small subunit ribosomal RNA
Source: RNAcentral